Non-coding RNA from Dipodomys spectabilis (banner-tailed kangaroo rat), 2593 nucleotides. NCBI's taxonomy places the organism in Eukaryota, Metazoa, Chordata, Mammalia, Rodentia, Heteromyidae. The record is from the annotation of a RefSeq genome assembly.
UGAGAUAAAGGCUGAGCUCUGAACUUGCCUUGACCUGUCAAGACUCCUUAUUUUACUCCAAAAAUGAAGUCCUUGUCUCAGCUCCUGUGGCUGUUAAUGCUCUGGAUCCCUGGUUCCAGUGGAGAUGUUGUGAUGACCCAGACCCCGAGUUCCCUACCUGUCACCCUGGGGCAGCUGGCUUCCAUCUCCUGCAGGUCUAGUCAGAGUCUCCUGCAUAGUAAUGGAAACACCUAUUUGGACUGGUAUCUGCAGAAGCCUGGCCAGUCUCCACAACCUCUGAUCUAUUUGGUUUCCAAACGAGCAUCUGGGGUCCCAGACAGAUUCAGUGGCAGUGGGUCAGGCACAGAUUUCACACUGACAAUCAGCAGGGUGGAAGCAGAGGAUGCUGGAGUUUAUUACUGUUUUCAAAGUACACAUGUUCCUCCCACAGUGAUACAGCCUUGAACAAAAACCUACCAUCUGGCUGGGUGAGCUGCCCUCAUGGCUGGCUGGUCUGGGGAGCAGCCCAGCAGAUUGUGUGAGUCUGCCUAAGAGGAAGAUAUUGAGGUCAAUAUAAGAGUGACUCUGAGUAGAGGUGAAGAGUUUAUGACAAUACAACAAAAUGCAAUCUAUAAUGACCAGGAGAACAAUUAUCUGAAUAUAAAGACCAGGAGACUUCAGAUAAACCAUAAGGAAUUUUUGAAAAAUUUCUCUCUUUAGUAGUAUUAGAACCAACCAAUGAUCUAUGAAUCGAAUGACUUCUUUGAUUUUAUUCCCUUUGUAAUGAAACAUAAUACUUCUUCAAGCACAUCCAAGCCUACAACUUUAGCCUAUCCUGUGCUUUCUGUUCAGAAGAAGCCCAGUUGUACCUUAUCUAGCUUCUGCUCUGUGUGUUCAUCAAACCCUGCCUAACCAUCAAACCAUUACCAGAGUUUUAUCAUUGACUCUUGGUUGGAUCAACCUGAGAAAGUUACAAAAUUGCACAUAGCCAGUGGUCUCUGCAUUCUGUGUCCUGGGGCUCUGGAUCUAAUUAAGAGAGUGGAUUGGGGUCAAGCCUAGGAAUAUGCUUCAUAUGUCCCAGAAGUCUGAGACUGAGCCCUUGUUCAAUGGGCACAGCAUUCACAGUCCAACCUGUUCAACCUCCAUGACUUCAUAUGAAAACCAUGUCAAGAGUGAAUCUUUCAUAUUUAAAUGUGUCUGUUAUCCACUUCCAUCACUUUCAACAUUUAUCAUUUCCUUGUAAUGGGCCUUUCAAAGGCCUGGAACUAUGACAUUGCACAGGCUGGGACUUGGGGGAUACCCUGACCUCCACCAGUGCCCAGUGUGCAUCUACCUCAGAUUGUGUAAACUGUUUCUGCAUGAUGCUCUCAAAGCCAUUUGGAAAAAAAUAGUAGCAUGACGUUGGAAAUGCUCUGAGCUCAUCAGGGUAUUACUCAUAGGAAAAAAUAUAGAUCUGGAAUGUAUAUUAACAAAUGGAAUAGGCUUAAGUCACUCUUUGGAACGUCUUAACAGGAAUAGUUAAUGCCAAGUUUAUCCACAACUGUAAUAUUCUGUAGAAGAGUAGUCAGAACAAAAUCUCAGCUCACACCUUUGUCCAGGCAUUUUACCAGGGCACUCAAUGUCACCUCUCUGAUUUUCAAUUCUCACUAGGCUCCUCAUUGUAUAAGUCUGUAUGAGUCACCAGAAAAGAAAAAUAAAUUAUCACUGUGCUUCUAGCAGAAUGCUGAUGCUGUGUAAUUGACAAGUCAGUUGUGAUCACUAGUUCCUUUCUAAGAAUUUUACCAAUUGAGUUCUGAGUCUGGAGCUCACUUUGAGGAGUUUCCUGAUGUUGAAUCUAAGAUCACAGCAACAAAAAUUCAUCAUUGUACCUCCAGCACAGUGCUGAUGUACAGUGAUUGACAUUAGCUGUCGUUACUACUUUCCAUCUAAGAAUUUUGCUGAUUGAGUGAUAGGUCUGGAACUCAUUUGGAGGUAUUUUCAAAUACUAUUAUUGAUUCUAAAAUCAUAGCAAAAAAUUUCAUUGUAAUAUGCUGAUGAAAAUGACAAAUUACAUUAAAUAUUUCCAGUCUACAUUUGACAUUUCUAGAAAACUUUUCUAGAAAACAUGUAUACGGGCAAAUACACAUAUUGAAAAUAACUGCGUAACAGUCAUGUAGUUAAAUAUAUACUUGGUUGCUCAUUUUUUCUUCAGAAACCAGAAUAUUCCCAUCAUCUCUAAGCACUUGUUACAAAGGCAACAGUGCAUACAACUCUGUCCAAGGAAUGAUGCUCUGUGUUUUAUCAAGGAAACUAGUGUCCAGGGAAUGUUUUAGAAUGCAUAAUUUAGGAAAAUUUUACUUCAGCAAAUGCAAUCCUUUAAGGAAAGUCAUAGGCAACCCAUCAACAUUUUUCUUAAUUAACAAUCAUUUUUGUUCAUGGAUGCUGAAGGGCAAAUUCAUAAUUAUUUCUGAAUUGAAUCAUCCAAUUCAAAUGACUAUUAAGAGAUACGAAUCGCUCCACGAGAGCAGCUUUAUCCUUUUAAAAGGCAGCACCUCCAAAAAUCUAAGUAGUUCUAACAGAGCACUGACAUUUCAAAUCCCACAUCUGUUAGCAUAGAUACACAGGGGUCCACUGG